AGCAGCCGCGGUAAUUCCAGCUCCAAUAGCGUAUAUUAAAGUUGUUGCAGUUAAAAAGCUCGUAGUUGAAUUUCGGGGUUCUACCGUUGGUCGGGCUUUGUCUGUACUGAUGUGUAGAAUUUCUACCUUCUGGGAACCACCAUGUUAUUAAUUUAGCGUGGUGGGAAACCAGGACCUUUACCUUGAAAAAAUUAGAGUGUUCAAAGCAGGCUUAUGUCUGAAUACAUUAGCAUGGAAUAAUAGAAUAGGACGGUGGUCCUGUUUUGUUGGUUUCUGAAUCACCGUAAUGAUUAAUAGGGAUAGUUGGGGGCAUUAGUAUUCAAUUGUCAGAGGUGAAAUUCUUGGAUUUAUUGAAGACUAACUUCUGCGAAAGCAUUUGCCAAGGAUGCUUUCAUUAAUCAAGAACGAAAGUUAGGGGAUCGAAGACGAUCAGAUACCGUCGUAGUCUUAACCAUAAACUAUGCCGACUAGGGAUCGGACGAUGUUAAUUUUUCUUGACUCGUUUCGGCGCCUUACGGGA
This 520-nucleotide ribosomal RNA is filed under the name uncultured Scutellospora. RNAcentral describes it as "SSU rRNA". It matches the Rfam family "Eukaryotic small subunit ribosomal RNA", at positions 569 to 1095 of the family's 1831-position model. Lineage: Eukaryota; Fungi; Glomeromycota; Glomeromycetes; Diversisporales; Gigasporaceae. The record is from RNAcentral.